RNAcentral lists this ribosomal RNA (427 nucleotides) under uncultured bacterium. RNAcentral describes it as "bacterial SSU rRNA". It matches the Rfam family "Bacterial small subunit ribosomal RNA", at positions 355 to 796 of the family's 1533-position model. The record is from RNAcentral.
UGAGGAAUUUUCCGCAAUGGGGGAAACCCUGACGGAGCAACGCCGCGUGCAGGAGGACGCUUUUCGGAGUGUAAACUGCUUUUCUGUGGGACGAGGAUGGACGGUACCACAGGAAGAAGCCCCGGCUAACUACGUGCCAGCAGCCGCGGUAAUACGUAGGGGGCGAGCGUUGUCCGGAGUUACUGGGCGUAAAGGGCAUGCAGGCGGUCGGACGCGUUUUGUGUGACAGCGGAGGGCUUAACUCUCCGAGGAUACGAAAGACGGUUUGACUUGAGGGCUCGAGAGGGACACGGAAUUCCGGGUGGAGUGGUGAAAUGCGUAGAGAUCCGGAGGAACACCGAAGGCGAAGGCAGUGUCCUGGCGAGUUUUCCUGACGCUGAGGUGCGAAAGCCAGGGGAGCGAACGGGAUUAGAUACCCCCGUAGUCC